AACGCUGGCGGCGUGCCUAAUACAUGCAAGUCGAACGAGUUCUCGUUGAUGAUCGGUGCUUGCACCGAGAUUCAACAUGGAACGAGUGGCGGACGGGUGAGUAACACGUGGGUAACCUGCCCUUAAGUGGGGGAUAACAUUUGGAAACAGAUGCUAAUACCGCAUAGAUCCAAGAACCGCAUGGUUCUUGGCUGAAAGAUGGCGUAAGCUAUCGCUUUUGGAUGGACCCGCGGCGUAUUAGCUAGUUGGUGAGGUAAUGGCUCACCAAGGCGAUGAUACGUAGCCGAACUGAGAGGUUGAUCGGCCACAUUGGGACUGAGACACGGCCCAAACUCCUACGGGAGGCAGCAGUAGGGAAUCUUCCACAAUGGACGCAAGUCUGAUGGAGCAACGCCGCGUGAGUGAAGAAGGCUUUCGGGUCGUAAAACUCUGUUGUUGGAGAAGAAUGGUCGGCAGAGUAACUGUUGUCGGCGUGACGGUAUCCAACCAGAAAGCCACGGCUAACUACGUGCCAGCAGCCGCGGUAAUACGUAGGUGGCAAGCGUUAUCCGGAUUUAUUGGGCGUAAAGCGAGCGCAGGCGGUUUUUUAAGUCUGAUGUGAAAGCCCUCGGCUUAACCGAGGAAGCGCAUCGGAAACUGGGAAACUUGAGUGCAGAAGAGGACAGUGGAACUCCAUGUGUAGCGGUGAAAUGCGUAGAUAUAUGGAAGAACACCAGUGGCGAAGGCGGCUGUCUGGUCUGUAACUGACGCUGAGGCUCGAAAGCAUGGGUAGCGAACAGGAUUAGAUACCCUGGUAGUCCAUGCCGUAAACGAUGAAUGCUAGGUGUUGGAGGGUUUCCGCCCUUCAGUGCCGCAGCUAACGCAUUAAGCAUUCCGCCUGGGGAGUACGACCGCAAGGUUGAAACUCAAAGGAAUUGACGGGGGCCCGCACAAGCGGUGGAGCAUGUGGUUUAAUUCGAAGCAACGCGAAGAACCUUACCAGGUCUUGACAUCUUUUGAUCACCUGAGAGAUCAGGUUUCCCCUUCGGGGGCAAAAUGACAGGUGGUGCAUGGUUGUCGUCAGCUCGUGUCGUGAGAUGUUGGGUUAAGUCCCGCAACGAGCGCAACCCUUAUGACUAGUUGCCAGCAUUUAGUUGGGCACUCUAGUAAGACUGCCGGUGACAAACCGGAGGAAGGUGGGGAUGACGUCAAAUCAUCAUGCCCCUUAUGACCUGGGCUACACACGUGCUACAAUGGAUGGUACAACGAGUUGCGAGACCGCGAGGUCAAGCUAAUCUCUUAAAGCCAUUCUCAGUUCGGACUGUAGGCUGCAACUCGCCUACACGAAGUCGGAAUCGCUAGUAAUCGCGGAUCAGCACGCCGCGGUGAAUACGUUCCCGGGCCUUGUACACACCGCCCGUCACACCAUGAGAGUUUGUAACACCCGAAGCCGGUGGCGUAACCCUUUUAGGGAGCGAGCCGUCUAAGGUGGGACAAAUGAUUAGG
RNAcentral lists this ribosomal RNA (1485 nucleotides) under Lacticaseibacillus casei. RNAcentral's name for it is "bacterial SSU rRNA". It matches the Rfam family "Bacterial small subunit ribosomal RNA". Lineage: Bacteria; Bacillati; Bacillota; Bacilli; Lactobacillales; Lactobacillaceae. The record is from RNAcentral.